Molecule: ribosomal RNA, 253 nt
Filed under: uncultured bacterium
Lineage: Bacteria
Description: partial 16S ribosomal RNA
Rfam family: Bacterial small subunit ribosomal RNA
Source: RNAcentral
UACGUAGGGUGCAAGCGUUGUCCGGAAUUACUGGGCGUAAAGCGUGCGUAGGCGGUCUCGCAAGUCCGCUGUGAAAGCCCCGGGCUUAACCUGGGAAUGGCAGUGGAAACUAUGGGACUUGAAUCUGGCAGAGGGGGGUGGAAUGCCACGUGUAGCAGUGAAAUGCGUAGAGAUGUGGCGGAACACCGAUGGCGAAGGCAGCCCCCUGGGCUAAGAUUGACGCUCAGGCACGAAAGCGUGGGGAGCAAACAGG